RNAcentral lists this long non-coding RNA (1348 nucleotides) under Pan troglodytes (chimpanzee). Its description in RNAcentral is "lncRNA (ENSPTRG00000053703.1)". The record is from RNAcentral. Lineage: Eukaryota; Metazoa; Chordata; Mammalia; Primates; Hominidae.
UUUGUUCUUGCUGAGGAAAUACUCAUGUUUCCUGUUUCCAUGCCCUAGGUGUCUGCAGCACAACAGCCAACACUUCUGGAGCACAUGGCCCUGCAGUGAAGGAUUCUGGAGCUCACAUUUGUCUGAAGGGGAUCCGAGGAGGUUCUGUCUUGUUGAAUGUGAUUGAGAAGCUCAGAGUAGAUGUAGACGCCGAGCUGGAGGAGGUUGUAUGGACUUUGGGUAUUCUGUCAAAUCAUACACAGGUGCUGUGAGUCCACAGGGGGGCCGACUCUCCAACCUGGGUCGGCCUUGAGGAAAAGUUCAAGCAGAGGGUCCAUGUGCCUAGCGUGUUGUCUCUGAGGAUUGAGAACCUGGCCCCUGAUGACAGUGGGCAGUACAUGGCCAUGAUCCACUUAACUGGGGGACAAUUAUCUGGCCAGGUUUUCUACCUCACUGUCUAUGAGCCUGUGCCUCAUCCUGAGAUCCUGGCCAAGUCACUGUCUAUCAUACCAGGCUUGUGUAACAUCACCCUGGAGUGCAGGGCUCCAGGAGCCACAGAGGACCUGAAUGUGACUUGGGAGAGCAAGGACCUCCUCAGAGAGCUGGAGCACAGAGAAACACGAGGACCAGCCCCUAACCCCUGGAUCCUGGCUGUGAACCUGCCCCUGAGCCAGCGGAACAGCAAUCUCACCUGUGUGGUCAGCAACUAGGUAGAUCAGAAAGAUGUAACCUUACCUUGGGGAAGCCUGUGUCAAGGUUCAUGUAGACUGGACAUGGCUCUCCUUCGCAAGAUAUUCUUGGAGUCAUUGCAUUUGUGCUGUUGAUCCUGAGAGCUGGGCUAUACCUCUGGAAGAAACGUGGGAAGAAGAAGAAGAAAGAUGAGGAGGAAGAAGAGGAGGAGGAGCAGAAGGAGGAGGAGCGGGAGGAGGCAGGAAUAGGCAGGUUGCAUUUCUCCAUCGAGGCCCAGAUAUCUCCCCUCCCCCACUAGAAUCUGGGUUCUCUUUCUCCUGAAAGAAUGUCAUUGUUUAGCUAUAUGAAUAACCCUAGAUAUAGCAUUGAGUUAACAUGUCCAAGAUAUUUGUUACUGGAAAAAACUGAACAGCAAUGCAUGGUAUGAUUUAAUUUUUGUAAAAGUGUAUAGAUAGGUAGAUAGAAAGAUAAGCACAGAAUAAAAUCUAUACUACAUGACAGAUUACCAACAGUGGCUCACUCAGAGGUGAGGAAUUCCUCAAGGUUUGCUUCUUUUUAGUUUAUAUAUGUAAUGUAAUAUUUUAUGUUAUUUGAAUCUUUUCAAUGCUCAGUCACUGUGAAGUCAAAGGAAACAAUUAAGACAAUUUUGUAGCUUAAUUCCAUUUAGCUAAUUAAUCCC